Molecule: transfer RNA, 68 nt
Filed under: Leifsonia sp. Leaf264
Lineage: Bacteria; Bacillati; Actinomycetota; Actinomycetes; Micrococcales; Microbacteriaceae
Description: tRNA-Ser
Rfam family: tRNA
About the family: Transfer RNA (tRNA) molecules are approximately 80 nucleotides in length.
Source: RNAcentral
GCCGGUUGACCGCAGCAAACGCUCUUGUAAAGCGGGGGUUGCGGGUUCGAGUCCCGCAGCCGGCCCCG